RNAcentral lists this ribosomal RNA (1369 nucleotides) under uncultured bacterium. RNAcentral's name for it is "bacterial SSU rRNA". It matches the Rfam family "Bacterial small subunit ribosomal RNA", at positions 28 to 1381 of the family's 1533-position model. The record is from RNAcentral.
GACGAACGCUGGCGGCGUGCCUAAUACAUGCAAGUAGAACGCUGAAGAGAGGAGCUUGCUCUUCUUGGAUGAGUUGCGAACGGGUGAGUAACGCGUAGGUAACCUGCCUGGUAGCGGGGGAUAACUAUUGGAAACGAUAGCUAAUACCGCAUGAUAUUAAUUAUUGCAUGAUAAUUGAUUGAAAGAUGCAAUUGCAUCACUACCAGAUGGACCUGCGUUGUAUUAGCUAGUUGGUGAGGUAACGGCUCACCAAGGCGACGAUACAUAGCCGACCUGAGAGGGUGAUCGGCCACACUGGGACUGAGACACGGCCCAGACUCCUACGGGAGGCAGCAGUAGGGAAUCUUCGGCAAUGGGGGGAACCCUGACCGAGCAACGCCGCGUGAGUGAAGAAGGUUUUCGGAUCGUAAAGCUCUGUUGUAAGAGAAGAACAGGUGUGAGAGUGGAAAGUUCACACUGUGACGGUAUCUUACCAGAAAGGGACGGCUAACUACGUGCCAGCAGCCGCGGUAAUACGUAGGUCCCGAGCGUUGUCCGGAUUUAUUGGGCGUAAAGCGAGCGCAGGCGGUUAGAUAAGUCUGAAGUUAAAGGCUGUGGCUUAACCAUAGUAUGCUUUGGAAACUGUUUAACUUGAGUGCAGAAGGGGAGAGUGGAAUUCCAUGUGUAGCGGUGAAAUGCGUAGAUAUAUGGAGGAACACCGGUGGCGAAAGCGGCUCUCUGGUCUGUAACUGACGCUGAGGCUCGAAAGCGUGGGGAGCAAACAGGAUUAGAUACCCUGGUAGUCCACGCCGUAAACGAUGAGUGCUAGGUGUUAGGCCCUUUCCGGGGCUUAGUGCCGCAGCUAACGCAUUAAGCACUCCGCCUGGGGAGUACGACCGCAAGGUUGAAACUCAAAGGAAUUGACGGGGGCCCGCACAAGCGGUGGAGCAUGUGGUCUAAUUCGAAGCAACGCGAAGAACCUUACCAGGUCUUGACAUCCCUCUGACCGCUCUAGAGAUAGAGUUUUCCUUCGGGACAGAGGUGACAGGUGGUGCAUGGUUGUCGUCAGCUCGUGUCGUGAGAUGUUGGGUUAAGUCCCGCAACGAGCGCAACCCCUAUUGUUAGUUGCCAUCAUUCAGUUGGGCACUCUAGCGAGACUGCCGGUAAUAAACCGGAGGAAGGUGGGGAUGACGUCAAAUCAUCAUGCCCCUUAUGACCUGGGCUACACACGUGCUACAAUGGCUGGUACAACGAGUCGCAAGCCGGUGACGGCAAGCUAAUCUCUGAAAGCCAGUCUCAGUUCGGAUUGUAGGCUGCAACUCGCCUACAUGAAGUCGGAAUCGCUAGUAAUCGCGGAUCAGCACGCCGCGGUGAAUACGUUCCCGGGCCU